GACUCUCGACAACGGAUAUCUCGGCUCUCGCAUCGAUGAAGAACGUAUUGAAAUGCGAUACUUGGUGUGAAUUGCAGAAUCCCGUGAACCAUCGAGUCUUUGAACGCAUGUUGCGCCCGAAGCCAUCCGGCCGAGGGCACGUCUGCCUGGGCGUC
This 155-nucleotide ribosomal RNA is filed under the name Cornus hongkongensis subsp. melanotricha. Its description in RNAcentral is "5.8S ribosomal RNA". It matches the Rfam family "5.8S ribosomal RNA". From Rfam's summary of the family: 5.8S ribosomal RNA (5.8S rRNA) is a component of the large subunit of the eukaryotic ribosome. It is transcribed by RNA polymerase I as part of the 45S precursor that also contains 18S and 28S rRNA. The record is from RNAcentral. Lineage: Eukaryota; Viridiplantae; Streptophyta; Magnoliopsida; Cornales; Cornaceae.